Molecule: long non-coding RNA, 594 nt
Organism: Solanum tuberosum (potato)
Lineage: Eukaryota; Viridiplantae; Streptophyta; Magnoliopsida; Solanales; Solanaceae
Exons: 2
Source: RefSeq, a predicted model, not a curated record
CAAAAUCAACUCACAAAUAAUAGUACAGGAUUUCUGCGCUAGCAUAAAGAAAAAGUUGAAAGGAGCUAUUACCCAAUGAACGGAAUAAGGGGGAAAAGUUUACAGAGUCGACAAAGCAAUUAUAUUGUGAUAAAUUAAAAUUUCAGUGGAAAGCAUAUAAAUAUUUCUGCUCAAUGUAUGAACAGGUUGUAUUGUCAUACAUGCAUGUUGAACUGAAAGUGUAGGCAAUUUUCUAUCUCAAUAUAUGAAGUACUGCCGUGUUGCAUCGAUGUGGCUCUACAUCUGCGAAAACAAUUCUCAUUUUUUGAGAUCAAAUCUGAAAUCAAUGAUUGUUAGAUUUUACUUGAAUCAUUAUUCUCAUAAGAAUGAGUUAGAUUUUGCUCAUAGUGUAUAACCAGAUGAAGAGUGAGGUUGGCUUAUGGAUGGUAUCAAUAUCGCAAAGUUGAACUCUCCGAACUGUGGAUAAGAUAGGUUGUAAUAGGAAACUCAAUUGCAAUUCUCUUACGACUUCUUUUUAUGUAAAGAAAUUCUAAUGUUUCAUUCAAUUAUGUAAACAAGCACAAGAAUUGUGUUGCUAAUGUAACUUUAACCAAG